GGGGGCUGAGGGCAAAGAAAAGAAAAAAAGGAAAAGAGGAGAGGGAGACUUCUCCAACUUGUGCAAGUAGAGGAGGGAGGAAAUUAGGGCUUCCGGUUUAUUGCUGGGGCAAAGAGAGGAAGAUAAGGAUAGAGAAAGGAAGAAGCGGAUAGCAGGGGAGAGGUAGAAGACGGUUUGCAGGUGGUCGGGAAAUAAAGAGAAGUGACAGAGGGAGAAGAGUUUCUUUCUCCCAUUCCUUUCAUUUAGUGCACAGAGAGAUCUGAGGGGACUUUGGAGAAAACCCCAGCAGCUAGCAAGGCAGGAGAAAACUCCAAGACAGCCAUUAUUAGCUCAUCACUCUUCAUGAAGAUAUCCUUCCUUGCUGCCAUUGAUUGUCCGUAGUCAACUCACUACCACCUUGUGGCACAAAAAUGCUCUCAACAGAAGAUACCACAAUUACUUCGACAUUGCUGGAUAAAGAGCGUGUGUCGAUCCAUUAUUGGAAGCUCAAAGCCAAUGAAAGCUGGCUGGUACAAAGACCUGAAUCUCCAUCAUCCAUGAUGACAAGGAGGGGGAUAUAAUCGAAAGGCCAUUGGUUUUGCUUGUUAUUCUUAGAUGAAUUGUUUCAUUGACUAGUCCAUAGCAUGUAAUCUUGCUUUAGUGGUUGCACUGCAACUGCACUCAACAUGACUGUACCAAAAGCUUUAUAUGUUGAUUGUUUCUGUAAGUGGAGGGAAAGGAGCCAUAGAUGACUGACCUUGACUUUCUAUACACAGAGACAUCCACUUAUACUGGUUAUGAUUUAUGAUGCAACU
Molecule: long non-coding RNA, 794 nt
Organism: Carica papaya (papaya)
Lineage: Eukaryota; Viridiplantae; Streptophyta; Magnoliopsida; Brassicales; Caricaceae
Source: RefSeq, a predicted model, not a curated record